This is a non-coding RNA of Sorex fumeus (smoky shrew), 405 nucleotides long. The record is from the annotation of a RefSeq genome assembly. NCBI's taxonomy places the organism in Eukaryota, Metazoa, Chordata, Mammalia, Eulipotyphla, Soricidae.
AUGAAGCCGUCCAUUGGAGCCGUUUUCAUGUUCUUGUGGCUGCAGAUGGGCUGUGUCAGUGGAGGAGAGAGUGUGAAGCAGCAUCCGUCCACCCUGAGUGUCCAGCAGGGAAGCAAGGCUGUUAUCAAUUGUACUUAUUCAGACAGUGCCUCAGAGUACUUCCCCUGGUAUAAGAAAGAACCUGGGAAAAGUCUCCAGCUGAUAAUAUACAUUCGUUCAACAAAGACACAAGACCAAGACAAAAGAUACACGGUUUUACUGAAUAAGAAUGAGAAACAUCUUGCCCUGCACAUCGCAGACACCCAGCCUGAAGACUCAGCUGUCUACUUCUGUGCAGCGAGUGCACAUUGCUUCCCAGGCACCUGCAACCUGUGCAGAAACCUUUGUUUGGAGCGGGGAGGGUAG